RNAcentral lists this transfer RNA (73 nucleotides) under Echinostoma caproni. It matches the Rfam family "tRNA". Rfam says of the family: Transfer RNA (tRNA) molecules are approximately 80 nucleotides in length. Their secondary structure includes four short double-helical elements and three loops (D, anti-codon, and T loops). The record is from Rfam by way of RNAcentral. Lineage: Eukaryota; Metazoa; Platyhelminthes; Trematoda; Plagiorchiida; Echinostomatidae.
GCCUCUAUAGCUCAGUGGUUAGAGCACUGAUUUUGUAAACUAGGGGUUGGAAGUUCGAUUCUCGCUCGUGGCA